Long non-coding RNA from Apis florea (little honeybee), 2251 nucleotides. The record is from RefSeq and is a predicted model, not a curated record. Lineage: Eukaryota; Metazoa; Arthropoda; Insecta; Hymenoptera; Apidae.
AAGAAAGAAACUAGAAGAGAAUAAAGAUAUAAUAAGAGAAGAGAAGAGAAGAGAAGAGAGAGACAAGCUCGGAUAUAUUUAAUCGACAAAUUAAUCGAACAAAUUCGAAUGGCUUGGCUCGAGAAAAGAAGGAUGGAAAGCGCGAAGAAGGAAGAAAGCGUUAAAGGAGAGAGAGAGAGAGAGAAAAUAAAUCAAGAGGAAUGAGAAAGUACGAGAAAGGGAGAAUCAUUUAAAAAAAGAGCGGAUAAAAUAUUAACGCGAGAAAGGGAGGGAGAGAAAGAAGAGAGUGGAAGAGAGAAUGAGAGACACCGAGCACCUGAUUAAAAGAGUAAUUAAUUAAUUUUAUACUUUUUCGUGUAUGUGUGUGUGUGUGUGUGUGUGUGUGCGCGCGCGAAUGUUUUACGUAUUUGGCUUUUGGGACGAGAGGUGCAGGAGUAAUAAGGUAAAGGAGAAAGGGUAUUGGACGAGAGAUAAGGGAGAAUGAUCGACAAGGGUAUAUAUAAAAUUACAAAAGUGAAAAAUUAGAGAAGAAAAUGGAAAACGGAAUGAGAGAGAGAGAGAGAGAGAGAGAUACGAUCAUUCAACAGUAUUAUUCGACGAGUAAGAUCGUCGUUUUAAAGGAAACAACAAUUCCUCCUCGUUUCUCCCUUCCCCUCUUUUUUUGUCCUCUCGAGAGCCCGGAUCGACAUCGCCCGACGAUCUUCCUCCACACCGACCCUAAUUUCCCGAGCUUGCUUUAACUCUCCACGGGAUUACGGCUACGCGGAACCGGCCGCUCGUCGUCGAUCUCGAAUCGCGGAUUGACGAACGUCCGUCACCCGCAUUCGAGUCGUUCCGCUAACGAUCCGUUCCUUCCGUGAACGCUUCACUUUCCAAGAUCAGAUUCACCCCUCGCGCGGCGUAGAAAGAGAGAAAGAGAGAGGGGGGGGGGAGGGAGGGAAGAGUCGUCGUCUCUCUGCAUUCUUCGGUACUUGGAAGGAAUAUUGGCGAUGGAGCGAUGGCCCAUAGGGUGGGAUUCACCAUCGUAUAAGGAAGCGAAGGAAGAAGGAAGAUGUAUUGGAUGUUGGAGAUUUUUAUGAGUUUUAUUGCGAGAUAAUAUUGGUUGAGGUUUUAUUGCGAAAAAUUGAGUCAUAACUUUUUAGGAUUUAAUUUUUUUUUUUUUUUUUUUAGUUGGAACGAGUCGUCUCGAUUAUCUCGUAUAAAGUGUUAUUUAUUGGCGAGCGUUUGGUAUUAUUUUUUUUUUUUUCUUUUGGAGUGGAUCGUUGGAAUCGUUGUUGACUUUCUGCAAGUGAUAAGGAUAUAUAUAAUUUAUUCAUUAGAUUAUAACAAUGCUUUGAAUAUUUUCGCAUUGUUAUAUUUUUUAAAGUUGUUUAAAAGGGGGUUUUAAAUUCUAUUUAUCGAUUCAUUUAGAGAUCUUAGAGGCAGGAACGACUUUAAGAAUAAAGUAUAUGUUAUCAUUAAUUUCAUAAUCGGUUCCAAAUAGCCGUAAUCUCUCGAUGCGUAAUCCCUGCUCCACCUUGAACCUUCUUUCGUUCGAAGAAUCAACUUCCAACUUGUAAUACCGUCACGAUUUCAGAGGGAAUAGGAAAAGUAGAAGAAGGGAGAAUUUCGGACGACUCGUCGGAUGUCGUAGUUCCAUUAGCGACUGUUCUAGAACGUUCAGAGAGAUAUUCACGCUUGAUGUAUUUUCUGAAAAAUGUAUCAUCACACGUGGAAAUAUCUUCGUUUUUGGGGCAUGUAUUCGUGUACGAGCGACACGAUAGAUCAAAAAAUAUUUGUGAAUAUUUAUAUUUCGUUGAACGUAGUACAAUCGAAGAAUCAUGUUCCAAAGAUAUAUUCUACAACUGUAUGCUCGACAUUUAUAUAUACGUUUUUAAACAACAUUCGUUUCAACAAAUGUUAAUGAAAAAAAUAUCCAUACUCGAAGUAUAUACAUAUGUAUAUAUAUUGCUGGUGAAGUAACUGACAUAACUGCGAAUAUUGAUUGAUUUUUCAGCGAACGAAGAAACAUAGCAUUCAUCGAUUUUGAUAUUCAAAUUUUGCGUACAGAUAUAGAGAACUCGAAAAUAUAAAAGAUAUACAUAUUUUCUUUUCUUGCCGUUACGUAUUCAAGAGAUGAAAUUAAAUAUCUGAUUUUUUUCAUCGACAAUAAGAUCGAAUUUCAAUUUUGCAGUUGUGCUUUACAUUCGUAUACAUCAAAUAUUUAAAAGAGUAUCGAUAUUUAAAAGAAAGAAAGAAAAAAAAAAAAAAA